Molecule: long non-coding RNA, 1141 nt
Filed under: Sparus aurata (gilthead seabream)
Lineage: Eukaryota; Metazoa; Chordata; Actinopteri; Spariformes; Sparidae
Description: lncRNA (ENSSAUG00010023660.1)
Source: RNAcentral
UGAAGAAAGGACACGUCUCCGGCAAAUGUUGCCUCUCUAGUUUAAAGUUUCAUCUGCUGUAAGGCUUGUGUGCACAUGUACUUAUGUUGUGUGUCUUUACACGUGCUUCUGUUGUGUGUGUGUGUGUGUGUGUGUGUGUGUGUGUGUGUGUGUGUGUGUGACGGACGGGUAUCAGCAUGGAUUAGUGAGUAAAGGUAAGCGUGUGUCUCUCCCUGUCUAGGCGGAUUUCCAUCCCUCUCCUCUUCUCCGGUCACACACCGACCUCGUUUGAACCGCUGCCGUCGUCUCAUCUCAUCCCGUCUCCUCCUCCGAACCUCCCGCCGCUGUCUCAUGGCGCCGUAACACUUUGCAUUGAGAGUGUGUUUGUGAUUGGUUGGUUCUUUUUUUUGUCUCGGGCCGCCGUGCGAUGCCAUUACUCCCUCAGGACGCCGAGCGAUUCGAUGGGCUAUCUCUACUCUACUGGAUGAUCAUGGGCCCGCACGGCAUCAACCGAGCCGUACAGAGGCUGGAGUUCAGCGACUGCAAGAAGGGACUCGGUGAGCAUCUUCCUCCUGACCUGUCUGACCUCUGAAUCUGUUUAUGUGGGCUCUUUACACAGCUGCUGCUCAUGACCUAAAGACAGAAUGUCACAAAAGUAUCGACAGAUCACUAACCUGUGUGUGUGUCUGUGUGUGUGUGUGUGUCUGUGUGUGUGUGUGUGUGUGUGCACAGGUGUGAAGAUCAUCGGAGGUUACCGAGAGUUCACAGGAGAAGAGUUUGGCAUCUACAUCAAGCGGGUGGUCGGUGGUGGGCUGGCAGCUCAGGAUGGUCGGCUUAAGUCAGGUGACCUCAUUUUGGAUGUCAAUAACAUCAGUCUGAUAGGAGUGACUAAUGAGAGGGCGGUGGAGAUCUUGAGGACGGCCUCGCUGUCCAAUCACAUGGCCCUGCUGAUCGCCAGAGACGAUGAAUCCAGGAGGGAGUUUGCUGACCUGAUGGAAAAGUAUGGCUCCAAUCAUAUCACCACAUCAGGACGGAUCUCUCCCUCUCAGCUCACCACAGGUACGACACCCACAAAUAGUUUAAUAUCCUGACUGUUCCUGACAUUUAACGUUUUCAUGACAAAUGAUUGAAAUUUGCUUUUUCACAUGUGAAACAAAUGCUU